UACGUCUAAGGGAUGGCAGCAGGCGCGCAAAUUACCCACUCUCAGAACGAGGAGGUAGUGACGAGAAAUAACGAGACAGUUCUCUUACGAGGCCUGUCAUCGGAAUGGGUACAAUCUAAACCCUUUAACGAGUAUCUAUGAGAGGGCAAGUCUGGUGCCAGCAGCCGCGGUAAUUCCAGCUCUCAAAAUGCAUAGAAUUAUUGCUGCGGUUAAAAAGCUCGUAGUUGGAUCUGUGCUGGCGUCCCGGUCCGCCCUCGCGGGCGUGCACUGGAUUCGCCGGUUUUCCGCUCAACUCCUGCCAGCGCCCUUCACCGGGUGUCUGGAAAGGGUGAGCAAGUUUACCUUGAACAAAUCAGAGUGCUUCAAACAGGCGUUUAGCA
Molecule: ribosomal RNA, 380 nt
Filed under: Nacobbus aberrans
Lineage: Eukaryota; Metazoa; Nematoda; Chromadorea; Rhabditida; Pratylenchidae
Description: SSU rRNA
Rfam family: Eukaryotic small subunit ribosomal RNA
Source: RNAcentral